RNAcentral lists this transfer RNA (70 nucleotides) under Marmota marmota marmota (Alpine marmot). It matches the Rfam family "tRNA". From Rfam's summary of the family: Transfer RNA (tRNA) molecules are approximately 80 nucleotides in length. Their secondary structure includes four short double-helical elements and three loops (D, anti-codon, and T loops). RNAcentral also lists the same sequence under 1 other name. The record is from Rfam by way of RNAcentral. Lineage: Eukaryota; Metazoa; Chordata; Mammalia; Rodentia; Sciuridae.
GGCAAUGUAGCUCAGUGAUAGAGUGCUUGCCUAGCAUGCAAGACACUGGGUUCCACCCCCAGCAUCACAA